RNAcentral lists this ribosomal RNA (452 nucleotides) under uncultured bacterium. RNAcentral's name for it is "bacterial SSU rRNA". It matches the Rfam family "Bacterial small subunit ribosomal RNA", at positions 28 to 490 of the family's 1533-position model. The record is from RNAcentral.
GACGAACGCUGGCGGCGUGCUUAACACAUGCAAGUCGAACGAUGAAAGCGGGAGCUUGCUCCUGCUGGAUUAGUGGCGAACGGGUGAGUAACACGUGAGCAAUCUGCCCCGAACUCUGGGAUAAGCGUUGGAAACGACGUCUAAUACCGGAUACGACGCGCGAAGGCAUCUUCUGCGCGUGGUAAGAAUUUCGGUUCGGGAUGAGCUCGCGGCCUAUCAGCUAGUUGGUGAGGUAAUGGCUCACCAAGGCGACGACGGGUAGCCGGCCUGAGAGGGUGACCGGCCACACUGGGACUGAGACACGGCCCAGACUCCUACGGAGGCAGCAGUGGGGAAUAUUGCACAAUGGGUGGAAGCCUGAUGCAGCAACGCCGUGUGCGGGAUGACGGCCUUCGGGCGUGUAACCGACUUCGCUCAUGACGAAGCUUUGUGUGACGGUAGUGGGUAAGAAG